AUCAAAUUAAAAUAAAAUAAUAAAAUCGGAGUAAAUUUAUAAAUUACGAUAUAAAGCUAUGAAAUAAAUUUAAAUGAGUUCAGGUUGCCUUAAGGCCAGAAUAAAUAGAAAUUUUUCAAAUACAAUUUAGCGUGGUGGUGAGCGGGGUUUUACAGAAAGCCAUUGUAUUUACUCUUAAAAUAUGGUAACACUGUUUGUACGGUCAAACUUUUUAGAUUUAUACUGAUCAUUAAAGUUUGAAGUACCUGUUUUCUCAGCAGGAACUCAACAUGGGAUAGAGGCAUUGCAUAGAUCUGUUGAAAGAUUAUAACU
This 312-nucleotide long non-coding RNA is filed under the name Carica papaya (papaya). RNAcentral describes it as "long non-coding RNA (CPAP_LNC010161)". Lineage: Eukaryota; Viridiplantae; Streptophyta; Magnoliopsida; Brassicales; Caricaceae. The record is from RNAcentral.